UGCUUAGAAGUUCUGACGUAAACCGUGAU
Molecule: non-coding RNA, 29 nt
Filed under: Rattus norvegicus (Norway rat)
Lineage: Eukaryota; Metazoa; Chordata; Mammalia; Rodentia; Muridae
Source: RNAcentral